RNAcentral lists this ribosomal RNA (253 nucleotides) under uncultured bacterium. RNAcentral describes it as "partial 16S ribosomal RNA". It matches the Rfam family "Bacterial small subunit ribosomal RNA", at positions 524 to 776 of the family's 1533-position model. The record is from RNAcentral.
UACGAAGGGGGCUAGCGUUGCUCGGAAUCACUGGGCGUAAAGGGUGCGUAGGCGGGUUUUUAAGUCAGAGGUGAAAUCCUGGAGCUCAACUCCAGAACUGCCUUUGAUACUGAGAAUCUUGAGUAUGGGAGAGGUGAGUGGAACUGCGAGUGUAGAGGUGAAAUUCGUAGAUAUUCGCAAGAACACCAGCGGCGAAGGCGGCCCACUGGCCCGAUACUGACGCUGAGGCACGAAAGCGUGGGGAGCAAACAGG